CAUAAUUUGUGGUAGUGGGGGACU
Molecule: non-coding RNA, 24 nt
Filed under: Drosophila melanogaster (fruit fly)
Lineage: Eukaryota; Metazoa; Arthropoda; Insecta; Diptera; Drosophilidae
Also listed under: 5 other names
Source: RNAcentral